Molecule: long non-coding RNA, 717 nt
Organism: Ceratina calcarata
Lineage: Eukaryota; Metazoa; Arthropoda; Insecta; Hymenoptera; Apidae
Exons: 3
Source: RefSeq, a predicted model, not a curated record
UUGCAAUUCAUAUCGUGUCUCAUGCAUGCACGAUGGAGUGACUACUGUGACCGCGCUAUGUCAUCGGCUAUGUUCCGUUUUGGCCUAGUUCCGUUCGAGCCGAUGCAUGGAAACAACUGAUGCACGGAUCACGAUGACGAAAAUGGGAACAACGGAAACAUAGAUUUUCGUGCGGACCGUUGCCGACUAGAGUACGGGGAAAGAUAUUUGUUUAAAUGAAAAAGAUGUCAAUUGAACGGAAGACUGUACAUCACAAAGGAUUCACUUCACGGGAUUUUGGCCACGAUUCGGGUACUUCACGGUGGAUUUGCGUCACGGAGAAGGGACACUUUCAGGGAGACAAUUAGACAACGCGAGAACGCGUUAAAGUGGAUGUACAGACGGCGGUGCACGCGGAGUUAUUUAGCAACGGAAUCACGAAGUACAAACAAUUUCGUUAACGAGCUUCGGCUAUUAGGGACGAUUGGAAGUCGAUUCUUGGGAUAGUUGCCCUUCGUGGGUGAAAUCGUUCGUGCAUUGCGUGUGGAACUCCGCGGAGUUGGGUUGCGUGUCACGUGCGAACCGGAUCUAUCCGUGCGUGUGCGAUUUCCAUGGUGCACGCUCCGAUAGAAAUGCGUUCCUCUCUUUCAGGUCGAGCGACAUCCCGCAACAUUUGUUGUCCAUUUCUGGGAUCUAUCAAUUUUUCUUUUAAUAGAAAUCUAUCUAAAAUCAUUUCCG